GGGCCCGCACAAGCGGUGGAGUAUGUGGUUUAAUUCGAUGCAACGCGAAGAACCUUACCAGGGUUUGACAUCCUGCGAAUCUCUUGGAAACAGGAGAGUGCCUUCGGGAACGCAGUGACAGGUGGUGCAUGGCUGUCGUCAGCUCGUGUCUUGAGAUGUUGGGUUAAGUCCCGCAACGAGCGCAACCCUUAUUCUGUGUUGCUAUUAUAGGAAACUCAGAAGACUGCCGGUGAUAAGCCGGAGGAAGGUGAGAUGACGUCAAGUCAGCAUGCCCCUUACGACCUGGGCCACACACGUGCUACAAUGGCCGGGACAAAGAGAUGCAAUCUCGCGAGAGCAAGCUAACCUCAAAAACCCGGUCUUAG
Molecule: ribosomal RNA, 365 nt
Filed under: uncultured bacterium
Lineage: Bacteria
Description: bacterial SSU rRNA
Rfam family: Bacterial small subunit ribosomal RNA
Source: RNAcentral